CUGAGUACGACGGAGCACGUGAAAUUCCGUCGGAAUCUGGGAGGACCAUCUCCUAAGGCUAAAUACUCUCUAGUGACCGAUAGUGAACCAGUACCGUGAGGGAAAGGUGAAAAGCACCCCGGAAGGGGAGUGAAAUAGAACCUGAAACCGUGUGCUUACAAGUAGUCAGAGCCCGUUAAUGGGUGAUGGCGUGCCUUUUGUAGAAUGAACCGGCGAGUUACGAUUUGAUGCAAGGUUAAGCAGUAAAUGUGGAGCCGUAGCGAAAGCGAGUCUGAAUAGGGCGUUUAGUAUUUGGUCGUAGACCCGAAACCAGGUGAUCUACCCUUGGUCAGGUUGAAGUUCAGGUAACACUGAAUGGAGGACCGAACCGACUUACGUUGAAAAGUGAGCGGAUGAACUGAGGGUAGCGGAGAAAUUCCAAUCGAACCUGGAGAUAGCUGGUUCUCUCCGAAAUAGCUUUAGGGCUAGCCUCAAGUGAUGAUUAUUGGAGGUAGAGCACUGUUUGGACGAGGGGCCCCUCUCGGGUUACCGAAUUCAGACAAACUCCGAAUGCCAAUUAAUUUAACUUGGGAGUCAGAACAUGGGUGAUAAGGUCCGUGUUCGAAAGGGAAACAGCCCAGACCACCAGCUAAGGUCCCAAAAUAUAUGUUAAGUGGAAAAGGAUGUGGCGUUGCCCAGACAACUAGGAUGUUGGCUUAGAAGCAGCCAUCAUUUAAAGAGUGCGUAAUAGCUCACUAGUCGAGUGACACUGCGCCGA
This 757-nucleotide ribosomal RNA is filed under the name Staphylococcus aureus. RNAcentral describes it as "partial 23S ribosomal RNA". It matches the Rfam family "Bacterial large subunit ribosomal RNA", at positions 408 to 1167 of the family's 2925-position model. Lineage: Bacteria; Bacillati; Bacillota; Bacilli; Caryophanales; Staphylococcaceae. The record is from RNAcentral.